RNAcentral lists this transfer RNA (85 nucleotides) under Methylobacillus sp. Its description in RNAcentral is "tRNA-Leu". It matches the Rfam family "tRNA". From Rfam's summary of the family: Transfer RNA (tRNA) molecules are approximately 80 nucleotides in length. Their secondary structure includes four short double-helical elements and three loops (D, anti-codon, and T loops). Further hydrogen bonds mediate the characteristic L-shaped molecular structure. tRNAs have two regions of fundamental functional importance: the anti-codon, which is responsible for specific mRNA codon recognition, and the 3' end, to which the tRNAs corresponding amino acid is attached (by aminoacyl-tRNA synthetases). tRNAs cope with the degeneracy of the genetic code in two manners: having more than one tRNA (with a specific anti-codon) for a particular amino acid; and 'wobble' base-pairing, i.e. permitting non-standard base-pairing at the 3rd anti-codon position. The record is from RNAcentral. Lineage: Bacteria; Pseudomonadati; Pseudomonadota; Betaproteobacteria; Nitrosomonadales; Methylophilaceae. RNAcentral also lists the same sequence under 6 other names.
GCGAGAGUGGCGGAAUUGGUAGACGCACUGGAUUUAGGUUCCAGCGCCGUGAGGCGUGAGAGUUCGAGUCUCUCCUUUCGCACCA